AGUUCAAUAAUUAGAAUAUAUUAAUUCGAUGUAAAUUAUUAUUAUUUAUUCUCACAAAAUUCCAGUCUCUAUGCAUCGUUCUUCUCACAAGCUUUCAUGUGAAGAGCUUGCGUAUUGCUUUCCCUUAAUCUUUCAUCAAUCAAAUUACAGAAGCAGGAAUAUCUCUAGCGUUGGUUUGCUAGUUGGUAAUUUGAAGGAUCAGAGAACAUAUUCCAGCCAGAGUCUAUUUGAGCCAGUUAGUGAAAGGCUCAUCACCAGUGGUCAAUUUCUCAAACCUCCUUCACGAAGAAGUUCAAGUGAAUCUAGUUGUUAUAAGAAAUUUGCAAUUGCUGAAACUCAUCCUAUUAUCCAGUCUAGUAGUCUUCAGCAUUGGUUCAAAAAUUGGCAAGAACAGAGAAAGCAGAAAUUGACAGCUAGCACAUUUUCUGCGGCAGUUGGGUUUUGGCCUAUUCGAAGGACCCAGCUCUGGCUAGAGAAAAUUGGGGCGAUUGAGCCAUUUUUUGGUAACUUAGCUACAUGUUGGAGCAAUAUCAAAGAAGAGGUAGCACUUGAAAGAUAUAAACUGAUUACUGGGAAUACAGUUGAUUUUCCUGAAUUUCAGGUUUAUGGUAAGAUGAAUCCAGAAGAUAGUUGGUUAGCAGCUUCACCUGAUGGUUUAGUGGACCAAUUUGUUUAUGGGUUGUCUCUUAGAGGAGUAUUGGAGAUAAAAUGUCCAUUUUUCGGUGGAGAUAUGAGUAAGGCUUUCCCUUGGAGGCGGAUUCCUCUCUAUUGCAUUCCACAAGCUCAGGGCUUAAUGGAAAUCAUGGACCGGGAUUGGAUGGACUUCUAUGUUUGGACUCCAAAAGGAAGUAGUCUGUUUAGGAUAUACCGAGAUGUAGAGUACUGGGCUGCUCUCAAAUUAGCGCUCUCUGAUUUUUGGUGGAAGCAUGUUCAGCCAGCCAAAGAAAUAUGUGGUAAAUACGUGAUAACAGAUCCUCUUAGAGAAUUGAAGUUAGUAAGGCCAGCCUCCAGGCAUGAAUUAUGUGGCUAUAUAGUUUGUGAAAGUAAACGUAUUGGUGAUAACUCUAAUUUGUUGAUGCGUGAAAUAAAUGGAAAAUUGACAGACUGAUUUGCUUGCUGAGAUAUUGAAUUUUGAACCAAGUCUAAUUGAUUAAUAGCAAUGCCUUAUUGAGCUUUUUAAUAAUUAUUGAAAAUUCUGGUUACUAUGAAUUCUUUCCUCUAAAAUCGAGGUUGGAGGUUUUUGUUCAUAAUGGUUGCCAACCUGGAUAUACGGAGCUACUAUUAGGGGCACUUCUCCCUUUAGUUGGGCAAGUUUGAAUGCAUAUAGUUGUUGAAAGAGUUCAUAGGAACCUCAGCUGAGAAGUGAAUAUUGAGAAAUGAAGAAGACUACAUUGCCAAAUAGGGUGUUUAGAUGUUUGGAAUCCAUCACGCCCUUGCAAUGCUUCAAAUGGUUUGGGAUGGAAAAGUUAAGGUAGCUCUUUGUUCGCAUAUCACGGUCUGGCUUUCCCACAAGAAUGUCUCACCAGAAGUUUGCCAGAAGGUAUGGUUUUCUUCUACUGGAGAGUGUUGCCUCGCAAGAUCCACUUAGUGUUUCAGUUGCAAUUCUUCAUCAGUUCAACAUUUUGCCUGAGAUGUAUCAAGUUGGCUACACAAAUUUGUUUUUCCGUACCGAUCAGAUCGGGGCUCUUGAGGAUACGAGAAAUCGUACUCUUCAUGGUAUUUUACGUGUUCAAAGCUGCUUCAGAGGACAUCAAGCUCGCAACCACUUAAAGGAGGUCCAAAGGGGAAUUGCUACCCUUCAGUCAUUUAUCAGAGGAGAGAAAACCAGGAAAGAACAUGCCGUCUUAUUGCAGAGACAUAGAGCCGCUAUCGCUAUACAAAAUAUUAAAGGCAGGAAUUCUAGGAAAACAUUCAAGAAAAUUAGUGAUGCAUCAGUUGUGAUACAACCAGGUAAGUAUUCAGGCUUUUUCCCCUCGAGUAUAAAUAUUCAAAGCAACGUAAUGCCGCUGUGUUGAAACUUGAGUUCGGAACAAAAGGUAAUGGCUUGCUUCUGGUUGUGCCUUAAGUCGGAACAAUAUUGAGGAUUGAGAUGUUUCUUUAUUUCAAUCACCACUUCAUUUAUGUUAAAGAUAUUGAAAUAUACUGUAAUUUGGCAAAAAAGAAUACGUCAAAAGGCAUUUCUAUUGUAAAUCGGGCGUUUAAGAAGGAUGGUAGGAAAACGUUAUGUAUCAAGUUGACUGCCCUCCAUGAGUGAAUUUAAUAAUUUGGUUUUGGCCUCAAAACUUAGAAAGAUAUAUGAAAAAGCUGGUUUAAGUUGGACAUUUUUUUCCUGCAAAUUUAUAGUGAUACGAAACGUGGAAGAAAGAUUACGCGGCGAGAAACAAAAGUCGUCUUGAAUAAACCCGGGAGCGAAGAAGGUGAAAAAGAAGUGGGGCAGGAUGAACAGCACAAGGUACACAUACAAAACCCCAUACAUUUACUGUUUUAUUCUUGCUAGUCGAUCAAUAAUUGCUUUCUGGUGUUCUCUAUUGCUAGUAAUGAUUUCAUACAGAAAUCGAGAGUUUGUUUUACCAAAGCGAUUUGGUUACUGAAAA
RNA transcript from Hibiscus syriacus, 2594 nucleotides. It is a transcript of the gene named myosin-1-like, with no coding region annotated. The transcript is spliced from 5 exons. NCBI's taxonomy places the organism in Eukaryota, Viridiplantae, Streptophyta, Magnoliopsida, Malvales, Malvaceae. The record is from RefSeq and is a predicted model, not a curated record.